This 400-nucleotide ribosomal RNA is filed under the name uncultured bacterium. RNAcentral's name for it is "bacterial SSU rRNA". It matches the Rfam family "Bacterial small subunit ribosomal RNA", at positions 355 to 772 of the family's 1533-position model. The record is from RNAcentral.
UGGGGAAUAUUGGACAAUGGGCGAAAGCCUGAUCCAGCAAUGCCGCGUGAGUGAUGAAGGCCUUCGGGUUGUAAAGCUCUUUUAGUAGAGAAAAUAAUGAUGGUAUCUACAGAAAAAGCCCCGGCUAACUUCGUGCCAGCAGCCGCGGUAAUACGAAGGGGGCUAGCGUUGUUCGGAAUUACUGGGCGUAAAGAGCAUGUAGGCGGCCUAGAAAGUUAAAAGUGAAAUCCCAGAGCUCAACUCUGGAACAGCUUUUAAAACUCCUAGGCUGGAGAUCGAUAGAGGAUGGUGGAAUUCCUAGUGUAGAGGUGAAAUUCUUAGAUAUUAGGAGGAAUAUCAAUGGCGAAGGCAGCCAUCUGGGUCAGAUCUGACGCUGAGAUGCGAAAGCGUGGGGAGCAAA